This 460-nucleotide ribosomal RNA is filed under the name uncultured bacterium. Its description in RNAcentral is "partial 16S ribosomal RNA". It matches the Rfam family "Bacterial small subunit ribosomal RNA", at positions 338 to 795 of the family's 1533-position model. The record is from RNAcentral.
CCUACGGGUGGCAGCAGUGAGGAAUAUUGGUCAAUGGACGAGAGUCUGAACCAGCCAAGUAGCGUGAAGGAUGACUGCCCUAUGUGUUGUAAACUUCUUUUAUAUGGGAAUAAAAUGUUCCACGUGUGGGAUUUUGUAUGUACCAUAUGAAUAAGGAUCGGCUAACUCCGUGCCAGCAGCCGCGGUAAUACGGAGGAUCCGAGCGUUAUCCGGAUUUAUUGGGUUUAAAGGGAGCGUAGGUGGAUUGUUAAGUCAGUUGUGAAAGUUUGCGGCUCAACCGUAAAAUUGCAGUUGAAACUGGCAGUCUUGAGUACAGUAGAGGUGGGCGGAAGUCGUGGUGUAGCGGUGAAAUGCUUAGAUAUCACGAAGAACUCCGAUUGCGAAGGCAGUUCACUGGACUGCAACUGACACUGAGGCUCGAAAGUGUGGGUAUCAAACAGGAUUAGAUACCCGGGUAGUC